This 1520-nucleotide ribosomal RNA is filed under the name metagenome. RNAcentral's name for it is "bacterial SSU rRNA". It matches the Rfam family "Bacterial small subunit ribosomal RNA". The record is from RNAcentral.
AGAGUUUGAUUCUGGCUCAGAACGAACGCUGGCAGCGUGGAUUAGGCAUGCAAGUCGAACGGGAACCCGUUGGUUCAAUUCUUCGGAAGAGAACCGGCGGGGGAGAGUGGCAAAAGGGUGAGUAACGCGUGGGUAACCUACCCUCGAGUUGGGGAUAACUCCGCGAAAGUGGGGCUAAUACCGAAUGUGAUCCUCCCGCAUAGGCGGGAAAGAUCAAAGGCGGGGACCUUUCGGGGCCUGUCGCUUGAGGAGGGGCCCGCGUACCAUCAGCUUGUUGGUGAGGUAACGGCUCACCAAGGCUUACGGUUAGCUGGUCUGAGAGGAUGGUCAGCCACACUGGGACUGAGACACUGCCCAGACUCCUACGGGAGGCUGCAGUCGAGGAUCAUUUACAAUGCGCGAAAGCGUGAUAAUGCGACGCUGCGUGGAGGAUGAAGGCCUUCGGGUCGUAAACUCCUGUCAUUCGGGAAAAACUGUCCCCGUACCAAUAUUGCGGGGGCGUGAUGGUACCGGAAGAGGAAGCCACGGCUAACUCUGUGCCAGCAGCCGCGGUAAUACAGAGGUGGCGAGCGUUGUUCGGAUUUACUGGGCGUAAAGGGUGCGUAGGUGGUAUCGUAUGUCGGAUGUGAAAGUCCGUGGCUCAACUGCGGAAGUGCAUCUGAAACUGCGAAACUUGAGUGCAGGAUGGGAGAGCGGAAUUCUUGGUGUAGCGGUGAAAUGCGUUGAUAUCAAGAAGAACACCGGUGGCGAAGGCGGCUCUCUGGAAUGCUACUGACACUGAGGCACGAAAGCUGGGGGAGCAAACAGGAUUAGAUACCCUGGUAGUCCCAGCCGUAAACGGUGCGCACUUGGUGUAGGGGGUAUUGACCCCCCCUGUGCCGGAGUUAACGCGUUAAGUGCGCCGCCUGGGGAGUACGGCCGCAAGGUUAAAACUCAAAGAAAUUGACGGGGGCCCGCACAAGCGGAGAGCAUGUGGCUUAAUUCGAUGCAACGCGAAGAACCUUACCAGGGCUUGACAUGGGGACCCUUCGGGGGUGUCGGCGAAAGUCGGCUUUACCAUCACAGGUGCUGCAUGGCUGUCGUCAGUUCGUGCCGUGAGGUGUUGGGUUAAGUCCCGCAACGAACGCAACCCCUGUGCUUAGUUGCCACCAUGGGUGAUGAGCCCGUGAGCACUCUAAGCAGACUGCCCGUACAAGCGGGAGGAAGGUGGGGACGACGUCAAGUCAGUAUGGCCCUUACGUCCUGGGCUGCACACGUGCUACAAUGGUCGGUACAGAAGGACGCAAGACCGCGAGGUGGAGCAAAUCCUGAAAACCGGCCUCAGUUCGGAUUGGAGUCUGCAACUCGACUCUAUGAAGUCGGAUUCGCUAGUAACGGCGUAUCAGCAACGGCGCCGUGAAUACGUUCCCGGGCCUUGUACACACCGCCCGUCACAUCAUGAAAGCCGUCUGCACCCGAAGUCGCUGAGCUAAUCUAUCAUUAGAUGGAAGGCAGGCGCCGAAGGUGUGGGUGGUGAUUGG